Molecule: ribosomal RNA, 440 nt
Filed under: uncultured bacterium
Lineage: Bacteria
Description: partial 16S ribosomal RNA
Rfam family: Bacterial small subunit ribosomal RNA
Source: RNAcentral
CCUACGGGUGGCAGCAGUAGGGAAUAUUGCUCAAUGGGGGAAACCCUGAAGCAGCAACGCCGCGUGGAGGAUGAAGGUUUUCGGAUUGUAAACUCCUGUUGUUAGAGAAGAUAAUGACGGUAUCUAACGAAUAAGCACCGGCUAACCCCGUGCCAGCAGCCGCGGUAAUACGGAGGGUGCAAGCGUUACUCGGCAUCACUGGGCGUAAAGAGAGCGUAGGCGGGAUAGCAAGUCAGAUGUGAAAUCCUCUGGCUUAACCAUAGAACUGCAUUUGAAACUGUUAUUCUAGAGUAUGGGAGAGGUAGGUGGAAUUCUAGGUGUAGGGGUAAAAUCCGUAGAGAUCAAGAGGAAUACUCAUUGCGAAGGCAACCUGCUAGAACAUAACUGACGCUGAUGCGCGAAAGCGUGGGGAGCAAACAGGAUUAGAUACCCUUGUAGUC